Non-coding RNA from Peromyscus maniculatus bairdii (prairie deer mouse), 2070 nucleotides. The record is from RefSeq and is a predicted model, not a curated record. NCBI's taxonomy places the organism in Eukaryota, Metazoa, Chordata, Mammalia, Rodentia, Cricetidae.
UUCUCUAAUGGAACAGAACUUGUAGAAUAUAUGAAUGAAUGUAUGAAGUAUAUGAAAAUGAAUAUAUGAAUGAAGAAUGAAUAUAUGAAAAAUCCUUCAGGAAAGUAACCUGGAUCUCACCAAGGGAACAAGCUGGUAAGCAGCUACUUAGGAAUCAAAUCUUUGCUGUCUGGACCUACUUUAGCUUAUAAAGCAGCUCCUCGGCACAGGACACCCACCUGAUUGAGACUGGAGGGAACAGACAGGCUUAGACUUGGAGCAACAUAUGGCACUUCAGAAUGAGACCAAGGAAGUAGGUGAAAGUAACACAGGAGGAUCAAAAGCCAAGAAGAAGAAAGCAGGGAACCAAAGGGAAGUAAUUUUGCAGAAGUGGGUAGAAGAUUUUUCAGCUAUUGCCAUAGAGUCUGAAACUCGUAUGAAGAGCCCUGGAUUCCAGCUGUCUCAUCAGGAGACUACUGUCCAAAGAAACAAUAUGUGGAGAAUUCUUCUAAUGUGCCAAGGUGUUGGGCAGUAUGGAGAAGUCUGAAGAAGGAGAAGAUGAGGUGAUGGCUGCCAAAUGUUUUGCCUCCAAUUCCUUCCUGGCCUAAGGAUUGAACAUGAAUAAAUAUGCAGCCUCCGCAAACCCAUCUCGGCAUCUGCUCCCAGAGAAGCCAGUCUGCAACCAUAUGAAGUUCCAGUGAACUCUAUUAUGCUUGCCUAUGUAGAGAUUGCUCCAUUGUGCUACCACUUAGGCUCACAAAACAGCUUCCUUGGUUGUUCCUGUCACCGAUCACAUGUUAUGGAUGUGUGAGCAUAGGCUCAGAGACAGCAAUGACAAGCUCUAAGUCACAGCAAGUAUCUCAAGGCUCUUUAUUUAGAGCUGGAAAGGAGGCUAGGUGUUACAAAAACUCCUGCUUAGUCUGUUAUUUGUUUAGAAAUGGGGCCACUGUACCCUAGACUACACUCAGGUGUGAACAACAAGAAGAACUAGCUAAUGUAUGAUGCCUUCAAGACUGAUAGCAGUUCCUGUCAUUUGGGAUAUGAACUCCAUCAUGUUGUUGGACAAGAUACUUUGCUCGGAGUCAGACAAGUAUGCUAAUAACCAGAGAGUGAGAACUCUUCUGAUAAGAUUAGAGAAAAGACUUGGCAUCUGGAUAUUAAUUUUUGUGUAAGUUCCUUCAACAUAUACACUGAGAGCCCACCUACUGCAGAUUUGGUGAGGAGCUAUGUGGACUCAACAGCUCUGUACACACAUUCCUGGAAGGCAAGAUGGCAGCCAAGAAAAUUAUAAGAAAACAAGAUUCAAUCUCCCAAUCUCAUCUCCAACUCUAUAGCAGACUUUCUGGGAUGACCUCUCUUUACUCUCAACCCCAAUUCCAAGGAGACUAGGUAAGCAUAUCCUGGUGAAACCCUUUGCUUUCCUCCCUCCUGUGAAACCCCUCAGACCUCUAACCUAUCCUCAAUACUCUCAGCUCCCAGUAACUAGAAAUAUAAUUUACCUGGACUCCCCAGUGGCCACACCUAUCAGGUCCACAGAAAUUUUUCUACCAGGCAACACACAGAAACCACACUCUAGUAAAAUCCAGAGAGGAAAUAGAAACCAAGGAACAACAACAUAACAAAAAGACAAAACACAACAAAGACAACCAGAUAUCAGCACCUAGGCCUAUGAUCUUCCCAAUCUCAGACUGCUCGAUAUCAGCAUAAAAUAAUAAAUAACAGACAGGAUAAUAUGUCGCUGCUAGAGCUCAGCAACCCUACCACAGCAGGCUCUGAAUAUUCCAACAUAACUGAAGCACAAGAAAGACCUAAAAACAGCCUUUGUGAAUAUUAUAGAGUGCUGCAAGCCACAGGAAAAUGCAAUGGAAUUCAGCUACUAUCACAAAAGCUACUACUUAGAAAAGUCAAGAACUUUUCCUAAGAUCAAGCCAUGGCUUAAGAAGUUUUGGUGAUAUUUUAGCUUUUGUAUAUGUAUUAACUGGUUCCUAUAAUGAUUUUCUUUUGUGUUUCCAAGAACUCCUAACAAUGUAUUUUUCUAAAAUACCUAUCAAGUAUCCAAGGCUGAACAAUCUUCUGAACUAAGGUAAUACC